GACGAACGCUGGCGGCGUGCUUAACACAUGCAAGUCGAACGGAAAGGCCUCUUUCGGGGGGUACUCGAGUGGCGAACGGGUGAGUAACACGUGAGUAACCUGCCCUUGACUUUGGGAUAACUUCAGGAAACUGGGGCUAAUACCGGAUAGGAGCUCCUGCUGCAUGGUGGGGGUUGGAAAGUUUCGGCGGUUGGGGAUGGACUCGCGGCUUAUCAGCUUGUUGGUGGGGUAGUGGCUUACCAAGGCUUUGACGGGUAGCCGGCCUGAGAGGGUGACCGGCCACAUUGGGACUGAGAUACGGCCCAGACUCCUACGGGAGACAGCAGUGGGGAAUAUUGCACAAGGGGUGGAAGCCUGAUGCAGCAACGCCGUGUGCGGGAUGACGGCCUUCGGGUUGUAAACCGCUUUCGCUCAUGACGAAGCUUUGUGUGACGGUAGUGGGUAAAGAAGCACCGGCUAACUACGUG
RNAcentral lists this ribosomal RNA (467 nucleotides) under uncultured bacterium. RNAcentral's name for it is "partial 16S ribosomal RNA". It matches the Rfam family "Bacterial small subunit ribosomal RNA", at positions 28 to 507 of the family's 1533-position model. The record is from RNAcentral.